ACGCUGGCGGCACGCCUAACACAUGCAAGUCGAACGAAGUAGCAAUACUUAGUGGCAGACGGGUGAGUAACAUGUAGGUAUCUGCCCUUUGGCCUGGAAUAACACGAGGAAACUUGUGCUAAUACCGGAUAAGUCUUUACGGAGAAAGCUUUAUGCACCAUUGGAUGAGCCUGCACUUGAUUAGUUUGUUGGUGGGGUAAUGGCCUACCAAGACUGUGAUCAAUAGCUGAUUUGAGAGGAUGAUCAGCCACAUUGGGACUGAGACACGGCCCAAACUCCUACGGGAGGCAGCAGUGGGGAAUCUUGCACAAUGGAGGAAACUCUGAUGCAGCGAUGCCGCGUGAGUGAAGAAGGCCUUUGGGUUGUAAAGCUCUUUCGUCGGGGAAGAAAAUGACUGUACCCGAAUAAGAAGGUCCGGCUAACUUCGUGCCAGCAGCCGCGGUAAUACGAAGGGACCUAGCGUAGUUCGGAAUUACUGGGCUUAAAGAGUUCGUAGGUGGUUGAAAAAGUUAGUGGUGAAAUCCCAGAGCUUAACUCUGGAACUGCCAUUAAAACUUUUCAGCUAGAGUAUGAUAGAGGAAAGCAGAAUUUCUAGUGUAGAGGUGAAAUUCGUAGAUAUUAGAAAGAAUACCAAUUGCGAAGGCAGCUUUCUGGAUCAUUACUGACACUGAGGAACGAAAGCAUGGGUAGCGAAGAGGAUUAGAUACCCUCGUAGUCCAUGCCGUAAACGAUGUGUGUUAGACGUUGGAAAUUUAUUUUCAGUGUCGCAGCGAAAGCGAUAAACACACCGCCUGGGGAGUACGACCGCAAGGUUAAAACUCAAAUGAAUUGACGGGGACCCGCACAAGUAGUGGAGCAUGUGGUUUAAUUCGAAGAUACGCGCAGAACCUUACCAACACUUGACAUGUUCGUCGCGACUCUAAGAGAUUAGAGUUUUCGGUUCGGCCGGACGAAACACAGGUGCUGCAUGGCUGUCGUCAGCUCGUGUCGUGAGAUGUUGGGUUAAGUCCCGCAACGAGCGCAACCCUCACUUUUAGUUGCCAUCAUUAAGUUGGGCACUCUGAAAGAACUGCCAGUGAUAAGCUGGAGGAAGGUGGGGAUGACGUCAAGUCCUCAUGGCCCUUACGUGUUGGGCUACACACGUGCUACAAUGGUAUUUACAACAGGAAGCAAGACUGCGAAGUUAAGCAAAUCCCUAAAAGAUACCUCAGUUCGGAUUGCACUCUGCAACUCGAGUGCAUGAAGCUGGAAUUACUAGUAAUCGUGGAUCAGCGUGCCACGGUGAAUGCGUUCCCGGGUCUUGUACACACCGC
This 1313-nucleotide ribosomal RNA is filed under the name uncultured Alphaproteobacteria bacterium. Its description in RNAcentral is "uncultured alpha proteobacterium 16S ribosomal RNA". It matches the Rfam family "Bacterial small subunit ribosomal RNA", at positions 33 to 1393 of the family's 1533-position model. The record is from RNAcentral. Lineage: Bacteria; Pseudomonadati; Pseudomonadota; Alphaproteobacteria.